Morone saxatilis (striped sea-bass) is the source of this 1432-nucleotide long non-coding RNA. RefSeq lists it as uncharacterized. NCBI's taxonomy places the organism in Eukaryota, Metazoa, Chordata, Actinopteri, Moronidae. The transcript is spliced from 2 exons. The record is from RefSeq and is a predicted model, not a curated record.
GUGUGUUUGCUCCCCUGUGUAGCCAGAGCAGCAGCAGCAGCGCACUUAGCAUGGGCUUUAAAUAGCUAACUCAAAUAAAGUGAGAGGAGGCCGGGGAUCAGAGGCUGAGAGGGACUCUGUGAGGGAGGCAUUCCCAAACGGAAGCCGGCCUUUGGAUUUCCAAACAGCAUUCGGAGCGAGCAAUGCCAGGAAUGUGAUGUCGUCCAGCAGCAGUGGCGGCGGCGGCGGCAGCUGUGAAAACCACCGGGCCGCCAGGUGCUGGUAGGCCGCCUGACAGGAAGUGCAGCAGGAAGUGCAAGCAGAGGUCCAGCUAGGGGACAAAAUGGCGGCAGGUGACUCAGCAGAGAAGAGGGCAGGAGCUGGCUGAAGGUUGCGACCGUGCAGAAGCAGAACUCCUAUCAUCCCCGAAAUCUCUGAACCACUAAAAAAAGGGACGACUCCCCCUCCGAAAGAGCCUCUUUCUCAUCGACUAACUGCUCUCCUGCACUUUGCCUCCUUUUUUACACACUGUGUUAAAUUUCUAUUCUUUCUCAUCCUUUUUACCUUUUGACGACCUUCUUUGUAUGCAGGCUGUGGGAAAGUUUCCCGUAAUGGACUGCAGGACUGUCAUGUGUCCCCAUGUCUCUGUCCCACUUCCAGUUCCUCAGCUCCCUCCACAGAGACCAGGAACCUGAAUAGAGCCUCAUUCAAAACUGGUAUCCGAUGAUCUGGCCUCCUCGAAAGUCUCAACCAACACACAGGAGCUGGAGACAGACAGAUCAGCAGAUCUGUGAGGCUCCUGGACCCUGACAUUGCCAAGAUUUUUCAAGAGAGGAUGGUUCUCCCUGCCUGCAUGCGAUGACCUGCUCAGCUCCAUCUGCAACUGAUUCUCGGAAUAAAACCAGGGUGAUUAUAAAAGCGAGAAGAGAGACAGAGAGAACAACAUUAUCCAUCCAGAAACUUUGUGUUUGUGAAACACCUUCAGGUUCUGUGCAUUGUAGUGAGAACUCAUCCAGACUUGGAUUCAGUGUGCAGUGUGUGUGUGAUGUGGUGGCUGAUUACUGCCAUCUAUUGGCAAAAUCAUGAACUGUAGAGUUUAAAGGUUCAGUUCACCCCAUAUUACCUCCAUAUAAUCUAUACAUGCAGAUAGUUUUGGUUAUUGUUUUGGUUCCAGGUUCAUUUGUGGUGCUCAGAGUGAAAUGAAGGAUGACUUAAUCUCAUCAAAUCCAGCAAAAAAAGAGAAAAACCAACUAUAAACGGAUCCUGCUAACAAGUAUUGUAUCAUUCUUGUCCAAAAACUAACAACACACCAAUGUGCCACACUGUUGUUCCUCCAUCACCAUGAACACACACACACUGCAGUCCCACAUACACACUACAGCACUGGUUCCCAACCUCCAAAAAAUGUUGUAAGGGGUGUAAGAAAAUGUAUAAAUAAAAUAAACUAUACACA